Molecule: long non-coding RNA, 2486 nt
Filed under: Nicotiana tabacum (common tobacco)
Lineage: Eukaryota; Viridiplantae; Streptophyta; Magnoliopsida; Solanales; Solanaceae
Description: long non-coding RNA (NTAB_LNC008288)
Source: RNAcentral
UUUGAGACAAACGUCUCUUGUUUUUUCUUUCUUUCAUUAUAGAGUAUUUUGUAAGAGAUUGAGUGUUGGAAAAUACUUGUGUAAAUCUUUUUUUUGGAAUAAUCUUGUAAGGUUAUUCUUUUGCGGGAUUUGGGACUAAUUAGAGUAUCUACUCUUAUUUUAUAAUCUCUUUUGUACUCUUGUUGGUAUAGUGAAAUUGUUUCUUUUCGCAUGUGAACGUAGGUCACAUUGACCGAACAACGUUAAAUUGGGUCAAACCGGCACGGUUUCACCAAAAGGCCUUACACUUGUAAGUUAUCCUUACAUCUUAUAUGUAAUCUUUCAAUCUUUUCAGCUACCAUUGUAAAAUUUUAUUCACACGCCCAAUAUACUUGCUAAAAUUAGAUGAUAAUCAUUAAAACAUAUUAAAAGAGUAGUUAUCAACAGAUCAACCAACUAUCGUAUGAUCUCAUUUUAAACAAUAAAAAAUAGGUUUGUAUGAAGACUAAAGAGAUUAUUAAAUUGUAUUUGUAUCAAUGCAUCACAUACCGCUUAUAUAUAAUCAUCGAGUUUCCUGCACUGUUUUUGGUAUCUUUAAUCCUAGCUUUCACUUCCAGAUAAUUUCAACUUUUUCCUCACAACUUCUACCUAAUUAUUAUAUGUAGAAUAUUGGACACGUUAAAGGUGUAUAUUAUUGCACUAUCGAUACACAUCCAUAUUUCUUAUGACAACCUCUUCAUUAUCAAAUCUCUAAAAAUUUAAAAUAUUUAAUUUUUCAAUUUUGUCUUAUUUGAAAAUCUUUGGAUAAUUGUGAUAUAUUAUUUUUGUGCCACUUGUUUAUUUUAGGUAUUAAGUCACACAGUAAACAAUAAUUUUCAUAAAAUAUUCCCAAAGAAGUCCUCAAAAAUUACUAUAAGGCUCUGAGGGCUUCGAAGGGUAGGAUUUAUUUCUUAUUUUGUUAGCUAAAUGGAAUCAACAUUCAUCAUUUUAAGAAUAUAUAUUUUUGCUUUAAAUUUCAUUUCAUAACUUAAACAAAUCGUUUAAUAAUAUUUAUAUAAUCCAUUAAAAUUAUGUAUUCAUGAAUAUGGGUUUAUAGUAUGAAAUUUAUAGGGUUUUUUUAUAUUUGUACAUAUUUCACUGGUAAUAAAAAAAUUCUAAUUGCCAAAAACAAUAUAUUUAUAUAUAUAGUAAAAAUAUUAUUUAAUUAAGGAGUACAUUGUUAAUGUAUACUUUAUUUAAAUCUUAUUUUGAUUGUCUUGGGUGGCGUAACCUGGUUGUAAUUGUUGCAACUCAUUCCUCAUGUGGUAGCCAAGCAAGACAGGACCCUAUAUACAACUCAGGUAUGGUGUCUCUAAACCUUAAAUCUAAACCUAAUAUAUGAAUAAAAUUUGGACGGUUUAUUGGAGUAUAUUAGAUCAUAUCGUUUUAACAAAAUUUUAAUUGUCACAUCUUGCUUCUAAAUAUAAUGUACCUUAUAAUAAAAUUUGUACGAAAUUAUUGGAAAUGAAUAGAGUCAUUAAAUAACUUGACUGAACGCAUAACCUUUUUUAGUCAUAGGUUGUUAAUUAUUUCUAGACUAUAUAUCCAUUUUGAUAAUAAUUAUUCAAACACAUUGCAAAUAUAUUGGAUGAGUAGUUAACAGCGUAACUACCACAUGAUCUCAUUUGAUAUAUACACAAUGGAAAAAUAUAUUGUAUGAAAACUAAACGAAACUAACUAAAUGCAUCAUUAAAAUGUAUAAUUGUUAUCACAUACUGCUUAAAAUCAUCUAAUUAGUUGCCAGCAUGGUUUUUAUAAUAUACCAGCUUUCACUUCCAGAUAAUAACAACUUUUUGUUUUCAUUACAUCUACCACCAAAAAGUCAUAGGAUAUUAGGGAAAAUGGCACUGUAUAACAGCUUUCAAAAUAAUAGUCAAAAAAAUACAUAUUUGUUGCAUUUUUUAUAUAUAAAUUUUUGUAUGUUAUACACAAAACAUAUACAAAUUUAUACACUUUUACGGCUACUGGAUAUAAAUAAUUUUGACCGUAAACUAAAAAUGAUCUUUGCCCUCGCAUAUAUCUCAGUUCGUUGACUAUUUAUUUAGAUUAUUUAGUACCUUAAACAUAUCCAAGAAAUUAAGUUGGAUAUCCAUACAAUUCAAGACAUCUUAAAGGUCUUAUUUCAUUGAUCAUCAAUACACAUCCUUAUUCUUAAGACAAAAAUAGAGAAACAAUAGACCUAUUAAAUACAAUAAAAUAGGAAAUUACAAAAUGAAAGUCAACGCGCAAAACUCCAAAAUUAAUGUGAAUAAUGUCGGACUAUAACAUUAUACUCAACAACAGCAUCCCCACUGGUUAAAUUAAACCAAACGGUCUUUGCAGUGGCAAUUCCCUGAGCUAGCCGGAAAACACCAGAACCGCCGAUGAUCGGCAUUUCACGGUACUGAUUAAACACAGGAUUCCGGCCAAGAACACUAAGUGUACUACCAUUGUACUUACCAGUUGUGAAAACAAAGUUGAGGUUCAUA